This 273-nucleotide unclassified non-coding RNA is filed under the name Hevea brasiliensis (rubber tree). The record is from RNAcentral. Lineage: Eukaryota; Viridiplantae; Streptophyta; Magnoliopsida; Malpighiales; Euphorbiaceae.
UGUAACAACAGAAGCUUUUCUUAAUUCUUGUAUUGUUGAUCUUACAUACCACAUACUUGUACAAACCAGUAACAAGAUACCAUAACACCAUACACAAUAUGAUAAAGACAUACAAGACCUUACAACUAAGGAAACAACUCACAACUAAAACAUUUGUAUACAUUAGAAUAGUUAGCUCCAAACAUAUUCAUCUGACAAUCUGCUCUCCUACAUUAGUACCUGACAUUGGGUCAGUAACAGCACUAGAUGCUCUCAAAUUACAAAGUAAAGCAU